UACGUAGGGGGCGAGCGUUAUCCGGAUUCAUUGGGCGUAAAGCGCGCGUAGGCGGGUGCCUAAGCGGGACCUCUAACCUCGGGGCUCAACCCCGAGCCGGGUCCCGAACUGGGCGCCUCGAGUGCGGUAGGGGAGAUCGGAAUUCCCGGUGUAGCGGUGGAAUGCGCAGAUAUCGGGAAGAACACCGAUGGCGAAGGCAGAUCUCUGGGCCGCCACUGACGCUGAGGCGCGAAAGCUAGGGGAGCGAACAG
This 251-nucleotide ribosomal RNA is filed under the name uncultured bacterium. Its description in RNAcentral is "partial 16S ribosomal RNA". It matches the Rfam family "Bacterial small subunit ribosomal RNA", at positions 524 to 775 of the family's 1533-position model. The record is from RNAcentral.